UACGGAGGGGGCUAGCGUUGUUCGGAAUUACUGGGCGUAAAGCGCGCGCAGGUGGUCUUUCAAGUCAGUGGUGAAAGCCCGGAGCUCAACUCCGGAAAUGCCAUUGAAACUGUGAGACUUGAGGACGAGAGAGGUGAGUGGAAUUCCCAGUGUAGAGGUGAAAUUCGUAGAUAUUGGGAAGAACACCGGUGGCGAAGGCGGCUCACUGGCUCGUAUCUGACGCUCAGGCGCGACAGCGUGGGGAUCAAACAGG
Molecule: ribosomal RNA, 253 nt
Filed under: uncultured bacterium
Lineage: Bacteria
Description: partial 16S ribosomal RNA
Rfam family: Bacterial small subunit ribosomal RNA
Source: RNAcentral